GAUGAACGCUGGCGGCGUGCCUAAUACAUGCAAGUCGAGCGAACAGACGAGGAGCUUGCUCCUCUGACGUUAGCGGCGGACGGGUGAGUAACACGUGGAUAACCUACCUAUAAGACUGGGAUAACUUCGGGAAACCGGAGCUAAUACCGGAUAAUAUAUUGAACCGCAUGGUUCAAUAGUGAAAGACGGUUUUGCUGUCACUUAUAGAUUGAUCCGCGCCGCAUUAGCUAGUUGGUAAGGUAACGGCUUACCAAGGCAACGAGGCGUAGCCGACCUGAGAGGGUGAACGGCCACACUGGAACUGAGACACGGUCCAGACUCCUACGGGAGGCAGCAGUAGGGAAUCUUACGCAAUGGGGGAAAGCUUGACGUAGCAACGCCGCGUGAGGGAUGAAGGUCUUCGGAUCGUAAAACUCUGUUAUUAGGGAAGAACAAAUGUGUAAGUAACUAUGCACGUCUUGACGGUACCUAAUCAGAAAGCCACGGCUAACUACGUG
This 497-nucleotide ribosomal RNA is filed under the name uncultured bacterium. RNAcentral describes it as "partial 16S ribosomal RNA". It matches the Rfam family "Bacterial small subunit ribosomal RNA", at positions 28 to 507 of the family's 1533-position model. The record is from RNAcentral.